AUUGAACGCUGGCGGCAUGCCUUACACAUGCAAGUCGAACGGUAACAGGUUAAGCUGACGAGUGGCGAACGGGUGAGUAAUGUAUCGGAACGUGCCCAGUCGUGGGGUAUAACUGCUCGAAAGAGCAGCUAAUACCGCAUACGACCUGAGGGUGAAAGCGGGGGAUCGCAAAACCUCGCGCGAUUGGAGCGGCCGAUAUCAGAUUAGGUAGUUGGUGAGGUAAAGGCUCACCAAGCCGACGAUCUGUAGCUGGUCUGAGAGGACGACCAGCCACACUGGGACUGAGACACGGCCCAGACUCCUACGGGAGGCAGCAGUGGGGAAUUUUGGACAAUGGGCGCAAGCCUGAUCCAGCCAUGCCGCGUGCGGGAAGAAGGCCUUCGGGUUGUAAACCGCUUUUGUUAGGGAAGAAAAGGUUCUGGCUAAUACCUGGGACUCAUGACGGUACCUGAAGAAUAAGCACCGGCUAACUACGUG
This 477-nucleotide ribosomal RNA is filed under the name uncultured bacterium. RNAcentral's name for it is "partial 16S ribosomal RNA". It matches the Rfam family "Bacterial small subunit ribosomal RNA", at positions 30 to 507 of the family's 1533-position model. The record is from RNAcentral.